Molecule: transfer RNA, 72 nt
Filed under: Erinaceus europaeus (western European hedgehog)
Lineage: Eukaryota; Metazoa; Chordata; Mammalia; Eulipotyphla; Erinaceidae
Rfam family: tRNA
About the family: Transfer RNA (tRNA) molecules are approximately 80 nucleotides in length. Their secondary structure includes four short double-helical elements and three loops (D, anti-codon, and T loops).
Source: Rfam by way of RNAcentral
GUCAGAGUGGCUAACUAGUAGAGCACAGGACUUGGAUACCUGAGGCUCCUGGUUUGAUCCCUGGCCCUACCU